CCUACGGGAGGCAGCCGUGAGGAAUAUUGGUCAAUGGACGAGAGUCUGAACCAGCCAAGUAGCGUGAAGGAUGACUGCCCUAUGGGUUGUAAACUUCUUUUAUAUGGGAAUAAAAUGUUCCACGUGUGGCAUUUUGUAUGUACCAUAUGAAUAAGGAUCGGCUAACUCCGUGCCAGCAGCCGCGGUAAUACGGAGGAUCCGAGCGUUAUCCGGAUUUAUUGGGUUUAAAGGGAGCGUAGGUGGAUUGUUAAGUCAGUUGUGAAAGUUUGCGGCUCAACCGUAAAAUUGCAGUUGAAACUGGCAGUCUUGAGUACAGUUGAGGUGGGCGGAAUUCGUGGUGUAGCGGUGAAAUGCUUAGAUAUCACGAAGAACUCCGAUUGCGAAGGCAGUUCACUAGACUGCAACUGACACUGAGGCUCGAAAGUGUGGGUAUCAAACAGGGUUAGAUACCCGGGUAGUC
This 460-nucleotide ribosomal RNA is filed under the name uncultured bacterium. Its description in RNAcentral is "partial 16S ribosomal RNA". It matches the Rfam family "Bacterial small subunit ribosomal RNA", at positions 338 to 795 of the family's 1533-position model. The record is from RNAcentral.